CCGCGCGGGAGGGCGCGCUGGGCGGACGCUGGGGCCGCGGAGCCCAACCGCCCUUGUCCUGGACGCCCCUUGGCGGUCCGCACUGGCGGGUGCCCUCUCCCGAGGGGAACUGAGGCGGGGCGCCUGCCACCAUUCGUGAUUUUCCGUGACUCACCCUCUCAACAGUGUCCCGUCAGCCCCCGCUUUCUGGAAUUAAGAUGAUUUUCCAUGGGCAUUAUAGUCAGAGGAGGUUUUCUGUGAGACAUCUGGGAAAGGUGACUCAAUGAUCACUCAUAUUGUUCUAUGAUGUUAUACAUUUAACCGGAAUACUGGUGAACAGCUUUUAUAUCUUGGAAUUUUUUCCCAUUUUUGAAUCAGAAAUUUAGGACCAAGAAUCUUCUGUCACAGAACCUAUUACUUUGAGGAGUGAACUUAUAUUAACGGUGCUAAACCGUACAUGAACGACUUGGUAGAUGAAAACUUUGGAAAAUAGGAACAUUUCAUGUCAUCACAUGUAUCCUCCAGCAUUGGGGAAAAUUCAACAGUUGCCUUAAGGCGGGAGUUUAAUUGAGGACAUUUACUAAAAAGUUACUUAUUCUGUUUGAAAUUCUCUUCUGAUAAACAUCUUCCCGGGAUAACGAACAUCUCCAGGAUGUGAGAGCCGAGCGCGUGUCCGCGGAGUGCUUGAGCAACGCAGAAUGGCUUCGGUGCUGCGUUCCUUAGACCCCGUGCGGACCCUGCUGAGCCCUCAGCAUCUGUGAAUUGUGAAUAAUUGGUCUACUUUGAAGCUCAGAAGAGUCAUUGUGAAUAAUAUGGACAGAGUAAAAGAGUUAUGACAUUAGCUGUUAGUGACAUUAGCUCGAAGCCCACAAUAGUCAUAGAAAGGGGGAGACUUCACAACACCAUCUCCCUGGUAUCCACUGGACUUUGAUGGGUGGCAUCCACUAGCGGAAUUCAGAAAAAUGAAGGUGUGAAAUCGGUUUUUAUAAAGAAGAGAACCAUGCUAUGGAGAAGGAUUACUGUAUCGCCUCUUCAGAAGCCUUGUAUGAUGCCAUCCUGGGAUACAGCUGAGGUAUAGAUGAAAGGAUUCAGCAUCGGAGCCACCAUUGAAUACAUGAUGGUUGACAGAGUGUCGC
This 1115-nucleotide long non-coding RNA is filed under the name Homo sapiens (human). Its description in RNAcentral is "HSALNT0299647". The record is from RNAcentral. Lineage: Eukaryota; Metazoa; Chordata; Mammalia; Primates; Hominidae.